GAUGAACGCUGGCGGCGUGCCUAAUACAUGCAAGUCGAGCGAAAAGACGAGGAGCUUGCUCCUCUGACGUUAGCGGCGGACGGGUGAGUAACACGUGGAUAACCUACCUAUAAGACUGGGAUAACUUCGGGAAACCGGAGCUAAUACCGGAGAAUAUAUUGAACCGCAUGGUUCAAUAGUGAAAGACGGUUUUGCUGGCACUUAUAGAUGGAUCCGCGCCGCAUUGGGUAGUUGGGAAGCUAACGGGUUAUCAAGGCGAGGAUGCGUGGCCGAGCUGCGGGGGUGGUCGGCCACACGAGAGCGGAAACACGGACAAUGCGCCUACGAGAGGCAGCAGAAGGGAAUCUGCCGCAACGGGCGGAAAUCUGACAGAACAGGGCGACGUGUGUUGUAAAGGUCUUCGGAGCGUAAAGCUGUGUUAUUGGUGAAGAACAAAUGUGUAAGGAGCCGAACACGUCUUGACGGUACCUAGUCAAAAAGCAACGGCUAACUACGUG
This 497-nucleotide ribosomal RNA is filed under the name uncultured bacterium. RNAcentral's name for it is "partial 16S ribosomal RNA". It matches the Rfam family "Bacterial small subunit ribosomal RNA", at positions 28 to 507 of the family's 1533-position model. The record is from RNAcentral.